Molecule: transfer RNA, 76 nt
Filed under: Mycoplasmatota bacterium
Lineage: Bacteria; Bacillati; Mycoplasmatota
Description: Tenericutes bacterium (anaerobic digester metagenome) tRNA-His
Rfam family: tRNA
About the family: Transfer RNA (tRNA) molecules are approximately 80 nucleotides in length.
Source: RNAcentral
GCGAGUAUGGUGAAGUGGUUAACACAUCGGAUUGUGGUUCCGACAUGCGUGGGUUCGAUCCCCACUACUCGCCCCA